Loxodonta africana (African savanna elephant) is the source of this 72-nucleotide transfer RNA. It matches the Rfam family "tRNA". From Rfam's summary of the family: Transfer RNA (tRNA) molecules are approximately 80 nucleotides in length. Their secondary structure includes four short double-helical elements and three loops (D, anti-codon, and T loops). Further hydrogen bonds mediate the characteristic L-shaped molecular structure. tRNAs have two regions of fundamental functional importance: the anti-codon, which is responsible for specific mRNA codon recognition, and the 3' end, to which the tRNAs corresponding amino acid is attached (by aminoacyl-tRNA synthetases). tRNAs cope with the degeneracy of the genetic code in two manners: having more than one tRNA (with a specific anti-codon) for a particular amino acid; and 'wobble' base-pairing, i.e. permitting non-standard base-pairing at the 3rd anti-codon position. Lineage: Eukaryota; Metazoa; Chordata; Mammalia; Proboscidea; Elephantidae. The record is from Rfam.
GCCCUGGUGGCCCAAUGGUUAAGUGCUUGGCUGCUAACCCAAAGGUUGGUGGUUCGAAUCCACCCAUUGGCU